GACGAACGCUGGCGGCGUGCCUAACACAUGCAAGUCUUGGGAGAAAGAGGUAGCAAUAUCUUGAGUAAACCGGCGCAAGGGUGAGUAACACGUAGGCAACCUGCCCAGAGGACGGGAAUAACUUCGAGAAAUCGAGGCUAAUGCCCGAUGAAAUUCCGAAAUAGCAUUAUUUUGGAAUCAAAAGCCGAAAGGUGCUUCUGGAUGGGCCUGCGUCCCAUUAGGUAGUUGGUGAGGUAACGGCCCACCAAGCCGACGAUGGGUAGCUGGUCUGAGAGGACGAUCAGCCACACUGGAACUGAGACACGGUCCAGACACCUACGGGUGGCAG
Molecule: ribosomal RNA, 328 nt
Filed under: uncultured Chlorobiota bacterium
Lineage: Bacteria; Pseudomonadati; Chlorobiota
Description: bacterial SSU rRNA
Rfam family: Bacterial small subunit ribosomal RNA
Source: RNAcentral